GGCUUGAUAGUCAAAAUCAAUGAUUUUAAAUUGCAAGUUUAAAGGUAAGUAAUUUUUUGAGCCU
Molecule: transfer RNA, 64 nt
Filed under: Epicauta tibialis
Lineage: Eukaryota; Metazoa; Arthropoda; Insecta; Coleoptera; Meloidae
Description: tRNA-Cys
Source: RNAcentral